RNAcentral lists this ribosomal RNA (450 nucleotides) under uncultured Streptococcus sp. RNAcentral describes it as "bacterial SSU rRNA". It matches the Rfam family "Bacterial small subunit ribosomal RNA", at positions 930 to 1382 of the family's 1533-position model. Lineage: Bacteria; Bacillati; Bacillota; Bacilli; Lactobacillales; Streptococcaceae. The record is from RNAcentral.
CGGUGGAGCAUGUGGUUUAAUUCGAAGCAACGCGAAGAACCUUACCAGGUCUUGACAUCCCGAUGCUAUUUCUAGAGAUAGAAAGUUACUUCGGUACAUCGGUGACAGGUGGUGCAUGGUUGUCGUCAGCUCGUGUCGUGAGAUGUUGGGUUAAGUCCCGCAACGAGCGCAACCCCUAUUGUUAGUUGCCAUCAUUCAGUUGGGCACUCUAGCGAGACUGCCGGUAAUAAACCGGAGGAAGUGGGGAUGACGUCAAAUCAUCAUGCCCCUUAUGACCUGGGCUACACACGUGCUACAAUGGUUGGUACAACGAGUUGCGAGUCGGUGACGGCGAGCUAAUCUCUUAAAGCCAAUCUCAGUUCGGAUUGUAGGCUGCAACUCGCCUACAUGAAGUCGGAAUCGCUAGUAAUCGCGGAUCAGCACGCCGCGGUGAAUACGUUCCCGGGCCUU